UGAAUACGAGACGCUACGGCGUCGAAGCAGUCUAUGUCAUACUUCCAAGAAAAGCUUGCACUGUCAUAAACAAAUAAUGCCUGUACCAUAACCGACACAGGUGGGUAGGUAGAGUAUACUAAGGGGCGCGAGAUAACUCUCUCUGAGGAACUCGGCAAAAUGACUCCGUAACUUCGGGAGAAGGAGUGCCUUAUUUAUAAGGUUGCAAUAACAAGAUCCAAGCAACUGUUUACCAAAAACACAGGUCUCCGCUAAGUCGUAAGACGAUGUAUGGGGGCUGACGCCUGCCCAGUGCCAGAAGGUUAAAGAAGUUGGUUAGCAUUAGCGAAGCUGAUAACUGAAGCCCUGGUGAACGGCGGCCGUAACUAUAACGGUCCUAAGGUAGCGAAAUUCCUUGUCGGGUAAGUUCCGACCCGCACGAAAGGCGUAAUGAUUUGGAUGCUGUCUCGGAGAGGGACUCGGUGAAAUAGACUUGUCUGUGAAGAUGCGGACUACCUGCACCACGACAGAAAGACCCUAUGAAGCUUUACUGUAACUUGAAAUUGAAAUUGGACUUUAUUUGCGCAGUAUAGGUGGGAGGUUUGAGAAUAUUCUUGCGGGAAUAUUGGAGCCAUCAGUGAGAUACCACUCUUGUAAUGUUAGAUUUCUAACUUUGUAUCAUUAUCUGGUCAAAGGACAGUUUCAGGCGGGCAGUUUGACUGGGGCGGUCGCCUCCUAAACGGUAACGGAGGCGCACAAAGGUUUCCUCUGAACGGGUAGAAAUCGUAUCUAGAGUGUAAAGGCAUAAGGAAGCUUGACUGUGAGACCUACAAGUCGAGCAGGGACGAAAGUCGGUCUUAGUGAUCUGACGGUGCUGAGUGGAAAGGCCGUCACUCAACGGAUAAAAGUUACUCUAGGAUAACAGGCUGAUCUCCCCCAAGAGUUCACAUCGACGGGGAGGUUUGGCACCUCGAUGUCGGCUCAUCGCAUCCUGGGGCGGUAGUACGUCCCAAGGGUUGGGCUGUUCGCCCAUGAAAGCGGUACGCGAGCUGGGUUCAGAACGUCGUGAGACAGUUCGGUCCAUAUCCGGUGUAGGCGUUAGAAUAUUGAGAGGAGCCUUCUUUAGUACGAGAGGACCGAGAAGGACAUACCUCUGGUGUACCAGUUAUCGUGCCAACGGUAAACGCUGGGUAGCUAUGUAUGGAGAGGAUAACCGCUGAAAGCAUCUAAGUGGGAAGCCCACCUCAAGAUAAGUA
Molecule: ribosomal RNA, 1235 nt
Filed under: metagenome
Description: bacterial LSU rRNA
Rfam family: Bacterial large subunit ribosomal RNA
Source: RNAcentral